ACGAACUCAAUAUAUUUAAUUACAUACGUAUACGAGCAGCACUUCAAUCAAUUAAUCCUUACUCAAAUUUAUAUUUUCAUCCUAUCAUGAAACCAUCUUCAAUUAACUCACAUCUUAAUACAUUUUUACCAAAAUUACUUACAUCCAUUGCUUACGAAAUUCCUUAGAUUAUAUCACCGGCAACUUAUUUAUGAUGUCACGUGCCUACUUCAACCUUUCUAAAUAAUUUUCGCCCAAAUCCAUCUUAUAUUU
RNAcentral lists this long non-coding RNA (252 nucleotides) under Theobroma cacao (cacao). Its description in RNAcentral is "long non-coding RNA (TCAC_LNC001941)". Lineage: Eukaryota; Viridiplantae; Streptophyta; Magnoliopsida; Malvales; Malvaceae. The record is from RNAcentral.